UACGGGGGGGGGCAAGCGUUGUUCGGAAUUACUGGGCGUAAAGGGCUCGUAGGUGGCCCAACUAAGUCAGACGUGAAAUCCCUCGGCUUAACCGGGGGAACUGCGUCUGAUACUGGAUGGCUUGAGUUUGGGAGAGGGAUGCGGAAUUCCAGGUGUAGCGGUGAAAUGCGUAGAUAUCUGGAGGAACACCGGUGGCGAAGGCGGCAUCCUGGACCAACACUGACACUGAGGAGCGAAAGCCAGGGGAGCAAAGCGGG
RNAcentral lists this ribosomal RNA (257 nucleotides) under uncultured bacterium. RNAcentral's name for it is "partial 16S ribosomal RNA". It matches the Rfam family "Bacterial small subunit ribosomal RNA", at positions 524 to 777 of the family's 1533-position model. The record is from RNAcentral.